Molecule: transfer RNA, 65 nt
Filed under: Dipodomys ordii (Ord's kangaroo rat)
Lineage: Eukaryota; Metazoa; Chordata; Mammalia; Rodentia; Heteromyidae
Rfam family: tRNA
About the family: Transfer RNA (tRNA) molecules are approximately 80 nucleotides in length. Their secondary structure includes four short double-helical elements and three loops (D, anti-codon, and T loops).
Source: Rfam by way of RNAcentral
GGUGGCUCAGUGGUAGAGCGCUUGCCUGCCACGCAUGAGGCCCUGGGUUCAAUUCCUCAGCACCA